This 529-nucleotide ribosomal RNA is filed under the name uncultured bacterium. RNAcentral's name for it is "bacterial SSU rRNA". It matches the Rfam family "Bacterial small subunit ribosomal RNA", at positions 338 to 866 of the family's 1533-position model. The record is from RNAcentral.
CCUACGGGAGGCAGCAGUAAGGAAUAUUGGACAAUGGGCGCAAGCCUGAUCCAGCCAUGCCGCGUGCAGGAUGAAGGUGCUCUGCAUUGUAAACUGCUUUUGUUUGGGAAUAAACCCUUCUACGUGUAGAGGGCUGAAUGUACCAAAAGAAUAAGGGACGGCUAACUUCGUGCCAGCAGCCGCGGUAAUACGAAGGUCCCAAGCGUUAUCCGGAUUUAUGGGUUUAAAGGGUGCGUAGGCGGGUUAUUAAGUCAGUGGUGAAAGCCUACAGCUUAACUGUAGAAUUGCCAUUGAUACUGAUGAUCUUGAGUAUGAUUGAGGUGGGCGGAAUGUGUCAUGUAGCGGUGAAAUGCUUAGAUAUGACACAGAACACCGAUUGCGAAGGCAGCUCACUAAGUCAUAACUGACGCUGAUGCACGAAAGCGUGGGGUAGCAAACAGGAUUAGAUACCCUGGUAGUCCAGCCCUUAAACGAUGAUCACUCGAUGUGUGCGAUACACUGUACGCGUCUGAGCGAAGACGAUUAAGUA